Molecule: long non-coding RNA, 1087 nt
Filed under: Camelus dromedarius (Arabian camel)
Lineage: Eukaryota; Metazoa; Chordata; Mammalia; Artiodactyla; Camelidae
Description: lncRNA (ENSCDRG00005019784.1)
Source: RNAcentral
GGGAUAGUACAGAGGGGGACUAAGAAAACCAAGUACUGAUUUGAAAGCUGAUCCUUGUAAGAAAAUUAGCAUUUCUGGCAGCUCUAUAACGUGCCAGGUACUAACAUGUACAGGUACCUAGGUCAUCUCAGUGGUUUUCUUCCUAAAGGAUAAAACUACUCCCAUUAAACAAGAUCAUCUGUGUGAAGCCUGUGCCCAGUAGCAGGCGUCAGUCAAAGCGCAGGGAAUGGCAUCUCUGAGCAUUUUAAUUAUGAUCUGCAGUGGCCCUUGAAGCCCAGGUGGGUUAGAUGUUGCCAAGGAACUAGUGGGGGAGCCAGAAGGUGAACCUGACUCUCCUCGCUUGAAUGCUCCCCUCUUCUCAUUGAGAGAAGAGGGUGAUACACAACCCUGCUUCUCCCCUUCUUGGGGCGUCGGUGCUGUCAGCUUCCUCCCCGUCAUCCCCCGUGCCUCCCGACAGUAAAACUUCUAAUGGUUCCGCUUGAGUAAGUUUACUUCCUGCUGAUCACAGACCAUUCACACUACGGCUGCCCCCAGCGCUGUCGAGAUGCGUACGCCUGCACGCAUUGUGGACGAGGUCCACUCCCCUUCAGACCUGCAUCCGUUAGUGACUGUGCUUUUGGAAUCUGGAGUUCAGCCUCGCUCUCUUUUCCUUGCAGGUUCUCCUCCCUCAUGGUCUACAGGCUGCCUGUCGAGGAUGUGAGACCGUUAUCGCAGGCUUUCUUCAAAUUAGAAGCAGUGAAGCGGAGCUUCGACCUGGAGGAGUACAGCCUCUCGCAGUCCACCCUGGAGCAGGUGCGUCCGCUUUAGGGAUUUUACGGCCUCCGUGGAAUGUGUGCGUAUUAUGUGCGUACGCUCACUCUGCACUCCCUUGGAGCCACCGGGGGCAGUGUGACGCCCUUCUCUUUAUUUUUUCCCUCCAUUGCGGGUGUUUCUGGAGCUCUCCAAGGAGCAGGAGUUGGACGGUUUUGAUGAGGAAGUUGAUCUCUCAAUAGAGUGGAAGCUCCUGCAGGGAGAGCCCUAAAGCCCAAAUACUCGAUCUUUAAGAUAGUAUUUUAUGGCAUUAAUAUAUCUUAUCUCAGAUGUGGCU